UUUUAUGGAGAGUUUGAUCCUGGCUCAGGACGAACGCUGGCGGCGUGCUUAACACAUGCAAGUCGAACGGAAAGGCCUAGCUUGCUAGGUACUCGAG
This 97-nucleotide ribosomal RNA is filed under the name Corynebacterium diphtheriae. Its description in RNAcentral is "partial 16S ribosomal RNA". It matches the Rfam family "Bacterial small subunit ribosomal RNA", at positions 1 to 95 of the family's 1533-position model. Lineage: Bacteria; Bacillati; Actinomycetota; Actinomycetes; Mycobacteriales; Corynebacteriaceae. The record is from RNAcentral.